AACUUCCAUUGUCCUCACUAAGUUUGGGUUUCCCUUACUAUAAGACAUGACUAGUAAUAUCCCAUUAAUUGUUCAUUAUCUAUUGACUAGGACUGUUUUGUUCAGCAGGAUGCACAAAGUCCUUACACUUCUUCAGUGCUCUCCCUGUGGCCCUGGAACACAGACGUGGAAAAAGGCUGGUUUUGCAAGUUAUUUAAGGACACCUUAAAGUUACAGUACUUUAGAGCACUGCUUCAGUAGACAAAGUUCUAAUGUUAUGUUUGGGAUAUCUAUCUAUAUAAUCUUAGCAAACAUUACAAGGUAUGUAUAUAUUUGAAUAUAUUACGAUCAACAUAUGUUUUAUCCAAUUAUAUACAUGUGUAUACAAUAUAUAUAUUAUAUAUAAUAUAUAUUAUAUAGAUUAUAAUUAAUAUAUAUAUAUAUAAUUAUAUAUAAUUAUAUAAUUAUAUAUAAUAUAUAAUUAUAUUCUAUAUAAUAUAUAUAUAUAUAUAUAUAUAAGGUUUUG
This 505-nucleotide long non-coding RNA is filed under the name Anas platyrhynchos platyrhynchos (common mallard). RNAcentral's name for it is "lncRNA (ENSAPLG00000025326.1)". The record is from RNAcentral. Lineage: Eukaryota; Metazoa; Chordata; Aves; Anseriformes; Anatidae.